ACGGAAGGCAGCAGUGGGGAAUAUUGCACAAUGGAGGAAACUCUGAUGCAGCAACGCCGCGUGAGUGAAGAAGUAUUUCGGUAUGUAAAGCUCUAUCAGCAGGGAAGAAAAUGACGGUACCUGACUAAGAAGCCCCGGCUAACUACGUGCCAGCAGCCGCGGUAAUACGUAGGGGGCAAGCGUUAUCCGGAUUUACUGGGUGUAAAGGGAGCGUAGGUGGCAACGCAAGUCAGAAGUGAAAGCCCGGGGCUCAACUCCGGGACUGCUUUUGAAACUGUGUAGCUAGAGUGCAGGAGAGGUAAGUGGAAUUCCUAGUGUAGCGGUGAAAUGCGUAGAUAUUAGGAGGAACACCGGUGGCGAAGGCGGCUUACUGGACUGUAACUGACACUGAGGCUCGAAAGCGUGGGGAGCAAACAGGAUUAGAUACCCUGGUA
RNAcentral lists this ribosomal RNA (434 nucleotides) under uncultured Clostridium sp. RNAcentral describes it as "partial 16S ribosomal RNA". It matches the Rfam family "Bacterial small subunit ribosomal RNA", at positions 341 to 792 of the family's 1533-position model. The record is from RNAcentral. RNAcentral also lists the same sequence under 1 other name. Lineage: Bacteria; Bacillati; Bacillota; Clostridia; Eubacteriales; Clostridiaceae.